GUGCCAGCCGCCGCGGUAAUACCGGCAGCCCGAGUGAUGGCCGAUCUUAUUGGGCCUAAAGCGUCCGUAGCUGGCUGCGCAAGUCCAUCGGGAAAUCCACUCGCCCAACAGGUGGGCGUCCGGCGGAAACUGUGUGGCUUGGAACCGGAAGGAUCAGAGAGUACGUCCGGGGUAGGAGUGAAAUCCCGUAAUCCCGGACGGACUACCGAUGGCGAAAGCACUCUGAGAAGACGGCUUCGACAGUGAGGGACGAAAGCUCGGGUCUCAAACCGGAUUAGAAACCCUAGUAGUCC
This 293-nucleotide ribosomal RNA is filed under the name uncultured bacterium. RNAcentral's name for it is "partial 16S ribosomal RNA". It matches the Rfam family "Archaeal small subunit ribosomal RNA", at positions 455 to 747 of the family's 1478-position model. The record is from RNAcentral.